CAUAAUAAAAUAAUAAUGGAAAUUUUGAUACAUCAAAAUUCGGUAUUUUCUCAACUUUUUGCUUACGUAUAUAAACAUUUGAAAAAUUAAAAUAAUUUGAUAUAAGUUUUUGCAUAUUCUUCGUAAAAUAUUUUUUCUUACUAACUUUGCUUUAAAGUGUUUCAUAAUUAGUUAACGUAAUAAUCGUAAUUAAUUAUACAGUAUUAGAAACCAUCUUGCCAAAGAAGCAUUGCUUUCUUGUUUCUUUCAGAGCGUCAUUCCGAAGUAGGAUUACUGAUUAGGGUUAACGUUAGGUUUGUUUUGAUGCUUAGUUAUAUCCAUUGCAUUUGUGAACAACAUUCUCAGAAACAUUUCAUUAAAACAAAUAAUUAAUGAAACUGAAUUGAAAGAGAAACUAUUAGUGAUAUUUCAUCCGUAACAAUUAGAAAAAUCUUACUGACCAGCCACAAUUUUAAGGUCCUACUCAAUUGAUAAUGAAAAACAGCAGUCAUUGUCAAUUGUGAUACAACUCAGACGAAUAAUAAAAUAAAGCGAAAAGAUUCUGUGAUUGCUUAAGUAUUGUGGAAUCAUGGUUUGAAAGACAAAAACUGACAUUCCAUGGAACCCAACUGUGGAGAAGAAGUAAAACAAUUAAAACCAGGGAUGAAACGGGACGGCCCAUGUGCCCAAUGUGUUGGAAGACAUUUUUUGACAUGAGUAACCUUAGAAGACACAUGGAGAUCCAUGAUCCAUAUCGAAGUCCCCAUGCUUGUUCGGUCUGUAAGAAACAAUUUGCCUGGAAGACCCAUUUAGCAACCCACAUGAGAAGUGAACAUCCUGAUUAUCAGUAGUUUGUUUUUCAUUUUCUAAAGUUAUGAAGAAUGUUGUUUCAAUUUUGAAAUUGCAUAUGUUUCUCUAUUUAUGUUAGAAUAAAAAUGAAAUUUUCAGACCACAGAUUAGCUUAUUCUUAUUUUACAGAUUAUCUCUAUGCAAAAGAUAUUUCACUCUUUGGCCUAGUUUUUUGUAAAAUGUUCUAUUUAGCGGCCAUGUUACAUGAAAGAAGAGACUGUAACAAUGUACUUAUAUGAAAUGUUUUUACUACAAUGAUAAAUAUAGGACAUGAUCCUGUGUAAUGUAUAAUAUAGUGAAUAAAACUAAUUUUUAUACAA
Molecule: long non-coding RNA, 1148 nt
Organism: Limulus polyphemus (Atlantic horseshoe crab)
Lineage: Eukaryota; Metazoa; Arthropoda; Merostomata; Xiphosura; Limulidae
Exons: 2
Source: RefSeq, a predicted model, not a curated record